UCUUUGGUUUUCUAGCUGUAUGAU
RNAcentral lists this microRNA (24 nucleotides) under Schmidtea mediterranea. RNAcentral describes it as "sme-miR-9a-5p". Its record names the gene sme-miR-9a-5p. Lineage: Eukaryota; Metazoa; Platyhelminthes; Tricladida; Dugesiidae. The record is from miRBase by way of RNAcentral.